GCCCGGAUAGCUCAGUCGGUAGAGCAGAGGAUUGAAAAUCCUCGUGUCGGUGGUUCGAGUCCGCCUCCGGGCACCA
This 76-nucleotide transfer RNA is filed under the name Vibrio alginolyticus. RNAcentral's name for it is "tRNA-Phe". It matches the Rfam family "tRNA". From Rfam's summary of the family: Transfer RNA (tRNA) molecules are approximately 80 nucleotides in length. Their secondary structure includes four short double-helical elements and three loops (D, anti-codon, and T loops). Further hydrogen bonds mediate the characteristic L-shaped molecular structure. tRNAs have two regions of fundamental functional importance: the anti-codon, which is responsible for specific mRNA codon recognition, and the 3' end, to which the tRNAs corresponding amino acid is attached (by aminoacyl-tRNA synthetases). tRNAs cope with the degeneracy of the genetic code in two manners: having more than one tRNA (with a specific anti-codon) for a particular amino acid; and 'wobble' base-pairing, i.e. permitting non-standard base-pairing at the 3rd anti-codon position. The record is from RNAcentral. RNAcentral also lists the same sequence under 1 other name. Lineage: Bacteria; Pseudomonadati; Pseudomonadota; Gammaproteobacteria; Vibrionales; Vibrionaceae.